GUUAGGAAUAUUGGACAAUGGGCGCAAGCCUGAUCCAGCCAUGCCGCGUGAGUGAUGAAGGCCUUCGGGUUGUAAAGCUCUUUAGCCGAUGAUUAUAAUGACUGUAGUCGGAAAAUAAGCCCCGGCUAACUUCGUGCCAGCAGCCGCGGUAAUACGAAGGGGGCGAGCGUUAUUCGGAAUCACUGGGCGUAAAGCGUGCGUAGGCGGCUUUGCAAGUUGGGAGUGAAAGCCAAGGGCUCAACCCUGGAAUUGCUCUCAAAACUGCAAGGCUCGAAUUCGGGAGAGGAUAGCGGAAUUGUCAGUGUAGCAGUGAAAUGCGUAGAUAUUGACAGGAACACCAGUGGCGUAAGCGGCUAUCUGGACCGAUAUUGACGCUGAGGCACGAAAGCGUGGGGAUCAAACAGGAUUAGAAACCCGAGUAGUCC
RNAcentral lists this ribosomal RNA (425 nucleotides) under uncultured bacterium. RNAcentral's name for it is "partial 16S ribosomal RNA". It matches the Rfam family "Bacterial small subunit ribosomal RNA", at positions 354 to 796 of the family's 1533-position model. The record is from RNAcentral.